GACGAACGCUGGCGGCGUGCUUAACACAUGCAAGUCGAACGGAAAGGCCCUGCUUUUGUGGGGUGCUCGAGUGGCGAACGGGUGAGUAACACGUGAGUAACCUGCCCUUGACUUUGGGAUAACUUCAGGAAACUGGGGCUAAUACCGGAUAGGAGCUCCUGCUGCAUGGUGGGGGUUGGAAAGUUUCGGUGGUUGGGCUUGGACUCGCGGCUUAUCAGCUUGUUGGUGGGGUGGUGGAUUACCAAGGCUUUGACGGGUAGCCGGCCUGAGAGGGUGACCGGCCACAGUGGGACUGAGAUACGGCCCAGACUCCUACGGGGGGAAGCAGUGGGGAAUCUUGCACAAUGGGCGGAAGCAGGAUGCAGCAACGCCGCGUCCGGGAUGACGGCCUUCGGGUUGUAAACAGCUUUCGCCUGUGACGAACAGUGAGUGACGGUAAUGGAUAAAGAAGCACCGGCUAACUACGUG
RNAcentral lists this ribosomal RNA (468 nucleotides) under uncultured bacterium. RNAcentral describes it as "partial 16S ribosomal RNA". It matches the Rfam family "Bacterial small subunit ribosomal RNA", at positions 28 to 507 of the family's 1533-position model. The record is from RNAcentral.